CUUGAAAAAGAAAAUGGUCAUUACUGGAAGAACCAUCUUACAGUUACAGUCACCUCCUGGUCAAUUCCCAACAUUCAAAAGAGUCGGGGUCCCACCAUGUUGCCUCCGCUGGUCUCCAAUUCCUGAGCUCAAGCGAUCAGCCUGAAGUGCUGGGAUUACAGGCGUGCUGGGAUUACAGGCGUGAGCCACUGUGCUUGGCCAAUCUAGUAAUUAUUUAAAGUACUUCCUGCUAUUCUAAAAAAAGUUUAUUCCCAUCUCAAUGAUAAAUGGCAGGGUCAUUUCAUUCCUUAUCUGUUGCUACAUAACAAAUUACCCCAGAUCUUAGUGGCUUGAAACAACAACAAACUUUUAUUAUCUCUCACAGUUCCUAUGGGUUAGGAAUUUAGGUGUGGCUGAACUUGGCAGUUCAAGGCAUUGGCUGGGGCUGCAAUCCAUUGGAAGGCUUGCCUGGGGCGGAAGGAUCUGUUUUCAAAGCCCCGAGCUGCCGGUUGGGGGUGGGAUGCCUCAGUUCCUCUCCAUAUGGGCCUCUCCAUGGGGCUGCUUGGGUGUCUUCAGGCCUUGGGGGUUGGUUUCCUACAGAGCAAGGGAUCUGGGAGAGAGGGAGCACCACGCAGAAGCCAUCCUUUCGUGCCCUAGCCUCGGAAGUCUCAUGGUAUUGCUUUUACCAUCUCCUAGUGACUUAGAAGAAAGUAGCCAAGACAGACAUUUAAAGGAGACGGGGGUGGAGGGAUCCCAGGUUUUUUUUUUUUUUUUUUGACAUGGAGUCUGGCUCUGUCGCCCAGGCUGGAAUGCAGUGGCGCGAUCUCGGCUUCACGCCAUUCUCCUGCCUCAGCCUCCUGAGUAGCUGGGAAUACAGGCGCCCGCCACCACGCCUGGCUAAUUUUUCUAUUUUUAGUAGAGACGGGGUUUCACCGUGUUAGCCAGGAUGGUCUCGAUCUCCUGACCUUGUGAUCCGCCCGCCUCGGUCUCCCAAAGUGCUGGGAUUACAGGCGUGAGCCACUGCGCCCAGCCAAUCCUAGCUUUUAAAACCACCAGCAGCUGGGAGCAGUGGCUCAUGCCUGUAAUCCCAGCACUUUGGGAAACCAAGACGGGAGGAUCACUUAAGGUCAGGAGUUUGAGACCGGCAUGGACAACAGAGUGAGACCCCCUCUGUACAAAAAAUCUAAAAACUACCACGGUUGGCCAGGCGCAGUGCUCAUGCCUGUAAUCCCAGCACGUUGGGAGGCCAAGGCGCGCAGAUCACUUGAGGUCAGGAGUUCAAGACCAGCCUGUCCAACCUGGGAAAACCCAUCUAAAUUAAAAAUACAAAAAAUUAGCUGAGCAUGGUGGUGGUACCUGUAACCCCAGCUACUCAGGAGGCUGAGGCAGGAGCAUCACUUCAACCCAGGAGGCAGAGGUUGCAGUGAGCCGAGAUCGUGCCACUGCACUCCAUCCUGGGCAACAGAGUGUAACUCCAUCUCCAAAAACAAAAGCAAAACAAAACAAAACAAAACUACCAUGGUUACCUAAAACAGGGCAUGUGUUGGGAAGGGAGUAGACAGAGCCAGAGUGGAUAGACAGAAGACAUCUGAUCAAGAAAGAUUCAGGCCGGGAGUGGUGGCUCACGCCUGUAAUCCCAGCACUUUGGAAGGCCAAGGUGGGUGGAUCACCUGAGGUCAGGAGUUCGAGACCACCCUGGCCAACAAGGCAAAACCCCGUCUCUAUUAAAAUACACAAAAUUAGCCAGGCAUGGUGGUGCACGCCUGUAAUCCCAGCUACUCAGGAGGCUGAGGCACAAGAGUCACUUGAACCCAGGAAGCAGAGGUUGCAGUGAGCUGAGAUCACGCCAUUGCAUUCCCGCUUGGGUGACAGAGUGAGACCCUGUCUCAAAAAACAAACAAAACCAACAAGGCAGAGAUGUGGCCAGGGCUUCUGAAGGAAUGCAUGAAGUCCACCCAGCACCCACUCCAGUUGUGUCCCUCCAUCCUCCCAGACUACCCCCUGCCCCUGCACUCCCAGCCAUGCCCCCUGUGUGGGCCUCUGGUCCUCUCACCCUCUACCUUUGCUGGAGAACAUACAGGACUCACGUCUUUUCCUCCCAUGGGACAGAAACUCCUUUCGCGCUUCCUAUCAGGCCCUGCCUACCGCAGGUAUACACUGCGGGGUUUCUCAGUGAACAGAGCAUACCAAUUUGCACCCGCCACAGGACAGUGGCUUGUUCCCUGCAGACAACUUACUCUUUCAGCCUCCAGGCGUUUGCUCCUCCAGCCCAGAGGGAUGGGGCAGCAAUGAGCAUUUGAGCCGCCCUAGAAGCAGGAGGCAGGAGGCAGGAAGAUAUCUGGAUAGUUCAGGAAAGAGAUGAGGAAAAAGGAAAAAGGCAUAGGAAAAAGAUUUGGGAGCUAGGGUUGAGCCAGCCCCUUUCUCUGGGCAGCAGCAGACUAUGGCUGUCCUGAGUGGGCACACGCAAGGCUCUGGGGCUCACCCCGUACCCUCUUCACCUAUACCCCUCCCCUGAUCCAUCUGUAGCCACCCACUCCUGUUCCCUGCUUGCUCAUCUUGCUUUAACCCCAGCACCUCCUGACAUUUUCUCAUGCCAGCCAUCACCCCAUUCUUGGCUCAGAUGGUGCUGCCUCCUCUAGGAAGCCUUACUGGCUUGCAGCUCUGUGGUCCUAGAGCAUUUUGGCUGCCCCUGCCAGAGGCCUGACACCUAAAUGACAGGUGAGGUCCUUGGCUUAAUUCUGCGAGAGCAGUGACAGCAUCUCCACUUUCCAGAAUCAGGAUGCGAUUAUGUGUGUGUGUAGUCUUCUAAGCCUGGGCUUUUCUGGCUCUGCCCUCACAAACUGGUGCUGGCCAGUGGACCCAGGGCCUUCCCAGUUAAUGCUUAAUGGCUGGGUACAGUGGCUCACACUUGUAAUCCAGCACUUUUGGAGUUCCAGGUGUCUUUAUUAAAAAUACAAAAAUUAGCCAGGCAUGGUGGUAGAGACCUGUAAUCCCAGCUACUUGGGAGACUAAAGCAGGAGAAUCGCUUGAACCUGGGAGACAGAGGUUGCAGUGAGCUGAGAUCAUGCCACUGCACUCCAGCCGGGGCAACAGAGCAAGACUCUGUCUCAAAAAAA
This 3095-nucleotide long non-coding RNA is filed under the name Homo sapiens (human). Its description in RNAcentral is "HSALNT0341559". Lineage: Eukaryota; Metazoa; Chordata; Mammalia; Primates; Hominidae. The record is from RNAcentral.